UCUUUUUGCGGUCUGGGCUUGCUGUUCCCACAGCCUUAGCCAGGAAGCCCUUACCCCAAAAAGCAU
Gadus morhua (Atlantic cod) is the source of this 66-nucleotide microRNA precursor. Ensembl annotates it as gmo-mir-129-2. Its record names the gene gmo-mir-129-2. NCBI's taxonomy places the organism in Eukaryota, Metazoa, Chordata, Actinopteri, Gadiformes, Gadidae. The record is from Ensembl.